UAGAGUUUUGUCUCUUUAAAUUUUCUAUUGUUGGUCUUUGUUCUAAGUUUCAGCAAAGGCCCAA
Molecule: small nuclear RNA, 64 nt
Organism: Cannabis sativa
Lineage: Eukaryota; Viridiplantae; Streptophyta; Magnoliopsida; Rosales; Cannabaceae
Product: U7 small nuclear RNA
Exons: 1
Source: RefSeq, a predicted model, not a curated record